Molecule: microRNA precursor, 97 nt
Organism: Drosophila melanogaster (fruit fly)
Lineage: Eukaryota; Metazoa; Arthropoda; Insecta; Diptera; Drosophilidae
Rfam family: mir-274 microRNA precursor family
Source: Rfam
UGUGUUGCAGUUUCGUUUUGUGACCGACACUAACGGGUAAUUGUUUGGCCGCCAGGAUUACUCGUUUUUGCGAUCACAAAUUAUGAAAUUGCAGCAA